RNAcentral lists this long non-coding RNA (1158 nucleotides) under Salmo salar (Atlantic salmon). Its description in RNAcentral is "lncRNA (ENSSSAG00000103081.1)". The record is from RNAcentral. Lineage: Eukaryota; Metazoa; Chordata; Actinopteri; Salmoniformes; Salmonidae.
AGAGCCUGCAUGGUUAAGGGCUUGGAAGCAUUUCACAGUAAGGUCUACACCUCUUGUUUUCGGCGCAUGUGACAAAUACAACUUGAUUUGAUUUGAUCAUAGAGGUUAAAGAGAAAUACUGAGGAUUCAGAAACACCAUUUCCCCAUGUAACCUCAGUCCCCAUGUAACCCAGGUCCCCAUGUAACCCAGGACUCCAUGUAACCCAGGUCUCCAUGUAACCCAGGACUCCAUGUAACCCCAGGACUCCAUGUAACCCAGGACUCCAUGUAACCCAGGUCCCCAUGUAACCCACGCCCCCAUGUAACCCAUUUCCCCAUGUAACCCAGGACUCCAUGUAACCCAGGUCCCCAUGUAACCCAGGUCUCCAUGUAACCCCAGUCACCAUGUAUUUCCCCAUGUAACCCAGGUCCCCAUGUAACCCAGGACUCCAUGUAACCCCAGUCACCAUCUAUUUCCCCAUGUAACCCAGGUCCCCAUGUAACCCAGGUCUCCAUGUAACCCCAGUCACCAUAUAUUUCCCCAUGUAACCCAGGUCUCCAUGUAACCCCGGUCCUGAGGAGAAGGGAAUGGCAGGCUGAAUACCACUACCCAAAACACACACACACACAGAGAGAGAGAGAACACCAAGGUCAUCCCUAGCUCACAUUCUCUGCUCUGGUCAACGAUUGUAUUCAGGUUGUCGUGGAGACCCCAGCGCCACGGACACCAAACACUUUGUUUGCAGAGGUCAGAAGAACCCAAAUCACCCCUUUCACAGUUCCCUCUACUAUGGGUCUAACAGGGGAGUGGACAUUCACACAGUCCCCUCUACUAUGGGUCUAACAGGGUAGUGGACAUUCACACUGUCCCCUCUACUAUGGGUCUAACAGGGGAGAGGACAUUCACACAGUCCCUCUACUAUGGGGUCUAACAGGGGAGUGGACAUUCACACAGUCCCCUCUACUAUGGGGUCUAACAGGGGAGUGGACAUUCACACAGUCCCCUCUACUAUGGGUCUAACAGGGGAGUGGACAUUCACACAGUCCCCUCUACUAUGGGUCUAACAGGGUAGUGGACAUUCACACAGUCCCUCUACUAUGAGUCUAACAGGGGAGAGGACAUUCACACAGUCCCCUCUACUAUGGGUCUAACAGGGGAGAGGACAUUCACACAGUCCC